RNAcentral lists this ribosomal RNA (186 nucleotides) under uncultured bacterium. RNAcentral's name for it is "partial 16S ribosomal RNA". It matches the Rfam family "Bacterial small subunit ribosomal RNA", at positions 1314 to 1500 of the family's 1533-position model. The record is from RNAcentral.
GCCUUCAUGAAGCCGGAAUUGCUAGUAAUGGCAGGUCAGCAUACUGCCGUGAAUACGUUCCCGGGCCCUUGUACACACCGCCCGUCACACCAUGAGAGUUGGGAAUACCCGAAGCCUGUGAGCUAACGAAAGAGGCAGCAGUCGAAGGUAGAAUCAAUGAUUGGGGUGAAGUCGUAACAAGGUAUC